Molecule: small nuclear RNA, 287 nt
Filed under: Melopsittacus undulatus (budgerigar)
Lineage: Eukaryota; Metazoa; Chordata; Aves; Psittaciformes; Psittaculidae
Description: 7SK RNA
Rfam family: 7SK RNA
About the family: 7SK was discovered as an abundant small nuclear RNA in the mid-70s but a possible function has only recently been suggested. Two independent studies have found that 7SK RNA binds the CDK9/cyclin T complex (known as elongation factor P-TEFb).
Source: Rfam by way of RNAcentral
GGAAGUGAGGGUGGUGUAAUUCAACAUGUUGAUCACCAGGGUUAAUUCGGAUGAUCUGGCUAGCUAGGUGGGUGUCCCCUUCCUCCCUCACUGCUCCAUGUGCUUUCCUCCCAAAGCUGUGCCCUCAGUCAAAGAGGACAACAUUCCACAUAGAGAUGUACCGUUCAUCAGUCAAGGGUAUACAGUAGCUACACUGCCCUUUCAGAACCUCCAAACAAGCUCAAUGCUACACUGCAGGGGCAGUACCUACUAGAUGUUUGUUAUGUUUGUAUCCAAUUUUUUUUUAU